Molecule: transfer RNA, 74 nt
Filed under: Pseudomonadota bacterium
Lineage: Bacteria; Pseudomonadati; Pseudomonadota
Description: tRNA-Pro
Rfam family: tRNA
About the family: Transfer RNA (tRNA) molecules are approximately 80 nucleotides in length. Their secondary structure includes four short double-helical elements and three loops (D, anti-codon, and T loops).
Source: RNAcentral
CGGGGCGUAGCGCAGCCUGGUAGCGCACUUGCAUGGGGUGUAAGGGGUCGCAGGUUCAAAUCCUGCCGUCCCGA